AGAUUGAACGCUGGCGGCAGGCCUAACACAUGCAAGUCGAGCGGUAGAGAGGUGCUUGCACCUCUUGAGAGCGGCGGACGGGUGAGUAAUGCCUAGGAAUCUGCCUAGUGGUGGGGGAUAACGUUCGGAAACGGACGCUAAUACCGCAUACGUCCUACGGGAGAAAGCGGGGGACCUUCGGGCCUCGCGCCAUUAGAUGAGCCUAGGUCGGAUUAGCUAGUUGGUGAGGUAAUGGCCCACCAAGGCGACGAUCCGUAACUGGUCUGAGAGGAUGAUCAGUCACACUGGAACUGAGACACGGUCCAGACUCCUACGGGAGGCAGCAGUGGGGAAUAUUGGACAAUGGGCGAAAGCCUGAUCCAGCCAUGCCGCGUGUGUGAAGAAGGUCUUCGGAUUGUAAAGCACUUUAAGUGGAGAAGGCAGUUACCUAAUACGUAUCUGUUUUGACGUUACCGACAGAAUAAGCACCGGCUAACUCUGUGCCAG
Molecule: ribosomal RNA, 486 nt
Filed under: uncultured soil bacterium
Lineage: Bacteria
Description: bacterial SSU rRNA
Rfam family: Bacterial small subunit ribosomal RNA
Source: RNAcentral